UUGGUUUGCUUUAUCUAUUAUAUAUGUGUUGCUUCACUUCUUCUUAGAAAUCACAAAUGCAUUAUCUCUUUAAUUUAUACUCUCAAACACUUUCUAUCUUAUAUAUUCUUUCAUUUUAUUUCUUUUCCUCCACAUAAACUCUCGUUUCCAAAUUUUCUAGGUUGAAUUUUUCAAAUAUCAAUAAUUUUUUUUUUCUGUUCUUGUUGUGAUGUCUACUUCAAAUAAUAAUAUUGAAGUUGAACGAGGAUGGAUGUAUAGGCGUAUGGAUCCAUAUCAGCCGAAAGUAUCUGCAGAAUAUGAAGUUGGGUUAGAGGGAUUCUUGAAUUUUGCUUCUCAGUGCUUAUAUGAGGGGGGAAGAAUUUGGUGUCCAUGCUCACAGUGUAACAAUAGGGAGCUUCUUCGUCCGAACAUUGUUCACAAACAUUUAUAUACGAAAGAUUCAACCCAACUACUAUGUUUGGACAGGACAUGGAGAAAAGAUCCAGCCUCAAUACCAAUAUGAAGCCGGCUAUGAAAAUUUUGAUUACAAUACAUAUCAAACAGUGGAGACGAAAUGGAAUUCUAAUGCCUACAUGGGAGACAUGUUUGAGUCACAAACAAGAAGAAAUUAUCCAAAGAGAAUCAAUGGAGAUGAUGAAAGAAAGAAAAAUUGAUAACCGGCUUAAAGAUCCAACACAAGCACGCGGAUCUACUCUAAACGGGUUAGAUUUUUUAAUUAAAAUUCUUAAUCUCAACUUUACCCUUUUUAAUUUCAAUUAACAUUCUCCUUAAUGUUCUGUUGAGUGGAAAUUGCUGUAAAUAAAGCCAACAUUUCAGACAUUUUUAAAAAUGUACUCCCUUUUAAUUAUAAGAAGAUACGACACAUUACAACCAUCAUCAUCAUCGAUAUAAUACUUAAUUAGUAGUAUCAAGCUUGAAAUAAUGACUAGAACAUGACCUAACCAUAUUCAACUUAAACCGUAUGACUAAUUAAUGUCAUGAAUGAGGUAGUUCACCAGAGAGAACUUGAUCUUCAAAGUUUUUAACUUAGUAUGGUCCCAAAUUAAAAGAAUCUAAUUCAACAAAUUUCAUAAACUAGACACAAUACAAGUAACCUGUGACACAUUCUAUUCUAACCUCUCCUUAAUUUCUACUUUACAUGAUAUGUAAUUAGGCUUUUUCUAAGAUGUCGUGAGAGAAAAUUUUUAUUUUUGUAUGUAUUAGACCAUAUGCAUCAGCAUACCCACAUGGCGUCCCACCUAAUAAAACAUUUAAAUUUAAAUGGAAAUGAAAAUAAUAUGAGAGGAACGUAUCUACACACGCGACGUUUUUUCAUCAGUCCUUGAAGACACGUGGCGCGGGCUUAUUGCUUCGUGGAAUUAGGGCGAUUUGAUUCUUCCUGGUGAUUUCUCUGAAAAUUGGGUGAAGCAAAGGCUAAUCUGCCGUCAAUCGGUUGCAAUAGGAAGAGUUUCCUUAGCCACACGUAAAGGAAGCCUCACAUAAAGAUAAAUCACAGAACAAGUAGCAAACAAUCUCCCUGUCAAAGGUAAAUAAUCGAUUCUAUUAGCAUCAAAAAUGUUGUGGUAUCAUUUUUUGAUUUGGUUGAGUAGUUCAUAUGUUUUGUAUCUUUAGAUUCGUCAAGUGUAUCUUUAGACUAGUUCAUAUGAAUUGGUAGACUAGUUCAUAUGUUUUGUAUCUUUAGAUUGGUAGACUAGUUCAUAUGUUUUGCUACUUAUAUAAAGCUGCGAGUAUAUGUAAUGUUGCAUUUGCAUUAAUAUAUGUAACUAAAGCUAGUUAUAUAAAGCUGCGAGUAUAUAUAUUGUUGCAUUUGCAUUAAUAUAUGUAACUGACAGUAUAACUAAGUUUGUGUAACUAAAUGUUUCAAUAAUGUAGUUGGUGUACUUGAUGUUUGUUGUCAUAAAUUGUGAUUAGACUUAGGUAGUUGAAGCUUUGGUCAUAAAUUGUGAUUAGACAAAGCUUUGGUCAUAAAGUAGGUAGUUGAAACCAUACUUUCUUGGUUCCUUGUUUCUUCUUUUAAAAACGAAACCAUACUUCCCUCUUUUCCUAAUCAUCUCAAACUCUUUCCUUGUUUCUUCCUUGUUUCUGUUUCUUGUUUCCGUUUCUUGGUUCCUUGUUUCUUCCUUGUUUCUGUCUCUCGUUUCUGUUUCUUGGUUCCUUGUUUUUUCUUUUAAACACGAGACCAUACUUCCCUCUUUUCAUAAUCAUCUCAAACUCUUUCCUUGUUUCUUCCUUGUUUCUGUUUCUUGUUUCCGUUUCUUGUUUCUCAAACUCUUUCCUUGUUUCUUCCCUCUAUGAGUUAUUACAAUACAUUCAGCCAGUCCAAUAGUUAUUUAGAUCUUCUCAACAGUCAAGGAGAGCCCCUUAACCAAGAAAAAUCUUCUUCCGAAAUACCUCCAUGGAGCUCUCAAGAUUCCCCGGAUGUACCUCUUUCUCAAGAGGCACCUGCGAGGAAGGAAAGGAAGAAGUGGAAUCCGGCUGACGAUGAAAUUCUGAUCAGUGCUUGGCUGAAUACUUCGAAGGACCCGAUCAUUGCUAAUCAACAGAAGGGAGGAAGCUUUUGGCAAAGGGUUGAAAAAUACUAUAGAGAGUCUCCUCAUGCGAGAGCCAAGGGUGAACAGGGGCUGAACAUAAACUGUAAACAGAGGUGGUUCAAGAUCAAUGAGUUCACUAACAAAUUCUGUGGGGCAUAUGCAGCUGCAGAGAGACAAAACAGUAGUGGACAGUCUGAGAACGAUGUAUUGAAGGUCGCUCACGAGAUAUACUUCGCCGACUAUAAUACCAAGUUUACAAUGGAGCAUUGCUGGUGUUUGUUAAGGUU
Camelina sativa (false flax) is the source of this 2818-nucleotide non-coding RNA. Lineage: Eukaryota; Viridiplantae; Streptophyta; Magnoliopsida; Brassicales; Brassicaceae. The record is from RefSeq and is a predicted model, not a curated record.